This 518-nucleotide long non-coding RNA is filed under the name Oryzias javanicus (javanese ricefish). RNAcentral's name for it is "lncRNA (ENSOJAG00000006083.1)". The record is from RNAcentral. Lineage: Eukaryota; Metazoa; Chordata; Actinopteri; Beloniformes; Adrianichthyidae.
UGUCUAUCUUAGAAAUCACAUAUGUUUAUUUUUUGUAGUGCUGCAAGUGCCAGGGCCGACCGGAGACCUCCCUUUUGUUGUGACAACGAAACAAACCACUAACGCAACAGUUAUAACAGCCAACAUCUCCACAACACCCCCAACUCCAGUCACCACAACCAAGGCUACAUUCAUGUUAUAUGAAAUAAGGGGCCUAAAUUUUACAAUUGACAUUGAGUAUCAAGACUCAUUCAAUGAUUAUCCCAAUGAAGUAUAUAAAGAAGUCUAUAAUACUAUUCUGCCAAACUGUAGGAAGCACCUCAAUGAUUGUUUUAUACGAGACCUCGUAUUCACAGCUGGAAGCACGAUUGUGGAGUACUGGAUAGGUUCUUAUGUCAUGGACGAUUUGAAACUUCCGAAUAUAGAAACUGACGUAUACAUUGAUAUGUCCUCAAAAUACCCCAUCAUUUUUGACAGUAAGCAGUUCUCUCAAAAUAAUUGUUAAAUUCUUGUGUUUAUACAAAAAAUGCAAAACAGCA